This 384-nucleotide ribosomal RNA is filed under the name uncultured bacterium. RNAcentral's name for it is "bacterial SSU rRNA". It matches the Rfam family "Bacterial small subunit ribosomal RNA", at positions 30 to 416 of the family's 1533-position model. The record is from RNAcentral.
AUUGAACGCUGGCGGAAUGCUUUACACAUGCAAGUCGAGCGGCAGCGCGGGGCAACCUGGCGGCGAGCGGCGAACGGGUGAGUAAUGUAUCGGAACGUAUCCUUAAGUGGGGGACAACUAGUCGAAAGACUAGCUAAUACCGCAUACGAUCGAGAGAUGAAAGUGGGGGACCGCAAGGCCUCACGCUUUUGGAGCGGCCGAUAUCCGAUUAGCUUGUUGGUGAGGUAAAGGCUUACCAAGGCUAUGAUCGGUAGCUGGUCUGAGAGGAUGAUCAGCCACACUGGAACUGAGACACGGUCCAGACUCCUACGGGAGGCAGCAGUGGGGAAUAUUGGACAAUGGGCGCAAGCCUGAUCCAGCAAUGCCGCGUGUGUGAAGAAGGCC